AGAUGUGAUCUCACUUUGCCCUGAAGACAACUCCCUACUUGUGUAUUCAAUUUCACUUGUUUUACUGGUUAAACCAUCCUGCCCUGGAGAACAUACUGAACUGGGUUGAGACAGCCUGAACCAAGCAAGUCUAUUGGAGCUGGAGGAACUUAGACACAAGAAAGACUGCAGAUGCUGGAAAUCUGGAACAACACAAGGGGACAUAAUUUGAAGACACAAUCCCCAGUUGGAAGUCACAGUCACUCCACACUAAUGGAUGUUGAGUGUAAACAUCACCGAGAGGCAGCUACAAUCUCUGGACUCACACUCAGACAGAUGGGAGUCUGCAGGACUAAACAUCCAAGAAAAUGGCCUCAACCCCAGCAAGGAAUGUCCUCCAGAUUUGAGAGCAGCGGAGACACAAGAGACUGCAGACACUGGAAUCUGGAGAAACACACAAGCUGCUGGAGGAACUCAGUGGGCCAGCCAGCCAACCAGCAUCUG
Pristis pectinata (smalltooth sawfish) is the source of this 483-nucleotide long non-coding RNA. RefSeq lists it as uncharacterized. The transcript is spliced from 3 exons. NCBI's taxonomy places the organism in Eukaryota, Metazoa, Chordata, Chondrichthyes, Rhinopristiformes, Pristidae. The record is from RefSeq and is a predicted model, not a curated record.